This 304-nucleotide ribosomal RNA is filed under the name uncultured bacterium. RNAcentral describes it as "partial 16S ribosomal RNA". It matches the Rfam family "Bacterial small subunit ribosomal RNA", at positions 506 to 809 of the family's 1533-position model. The record is from RNAcentral.
CAGCAGCAGCCGCGGUAAUACGGAGGAUCCAAGCGUUAUCCGGAAUCAUUGGGUUUAAAGGGUCCGUAGGCGGUCUUGUAAGUCAGUGGUGAAAGCCCAUCGCUCAACGGUGGAACGGCCAUUGAUACUGCAGGACUUGAAUUAUUGGGAAGUAACUAGAAUAUGUAGUGUAGCGGUGAAAUGCUUAGAGAUUACAUGGAAUACCAAUUGCGAAGGCAGGUUACUACCAAUUGAUUGACGCUGAUGGACGAAAGCAUGGGGAGCAAACAGGAUUAUAUACCCCUGUAGUCCCUGUCUCUUAUAA